UGCCCGGUGGUCUAACGGCAGGACUCCUGAUUCUGGAUCAGGUAGGUGGAGGUUCGAAUCCUCCCUGGGCAGC
This 73-nucleotide transfer RNA is filed under the name Mycobacteroides abscessus subsp. abscessus. RNAcentral's name for it is "tRNA-Gln(ctg)". It matches the Rfam family "tRNA". From Rfam's summary of the family: Transfer RNA (tRNA) molecules are approximately 80 nucleotides in length. The record is from RNAcentral. Lineage: Bacteria; Bacillati; Actinomycetota; Actinomycetes; Mycobacteriales; Mycobacteriaceae.